This is a non-coding RNA of Cronartium quercuum f. sp. fusiforme G11, 100 nucleotides long. Lineage: Eukaryota; Fungi; Basidiomycota; Pucciniomycetes; Pucciniales; Coleosporiaceae. The record is from the annotation of a GenBank genome assembly.
GGGAGCAUAGUGUAGUGGCUAUCACGCUUCAUUUGCAUUCAUGCGCGAGCAUUUUCAUCGCAUCUUGAAGAGGUCCCGGGUUCAAUCCCCGGUGCUUCCA